AGAACGUUUUGUAAAUAUUACAAAUAUGAUGCGUCACUGUGAUUAUUACUUAUUAAAAUCACUUUGUUUCCUGAUUUGGGUGAUUCAUCUCAACCAAAAGAAAGAUUUGUGCUGUUCUGGCUAACAAAAACUUUGCAAACCAAUGAGUGCUUCAUUUCGGCAGCCUAUUCUGUGCCGGUCACGAUGUCUGUCUACACUGGCAUCAAUUUCAGGUAAUCACUGAGCUUUCUGAAACGUUUUUGUUUGCGUAUUUGUUUUAGGGCAGAUCGAGUGUGACUUAGGUAAUAUGAUUGCAUUCGCAGGAAUUCACAGAGAUGAAAACACAGAUCUGAGAUCGUGCCAGAACGCAUAAGAAGUUCCCAAUGCAUAAGAGUAGAGCACGAGAACGCUAAAACGUUCAGAGUCUGCAUCUUGUGUCGAUGAGGAACUCAGAAGUGUUCUCCUUUCUGGGCUUUUUGACCCAUCCAAGACGAUAAAGCAGGUUCUCGAUCAUCUCUCCCCCAUCUUAUCUUGCUUCUUUUGCCUCCUUUUUAUCAUCACCAAAUACUUUGAGCAGCUGUAGGUGUUAUGGGUUAAAUAGUUUCUGGGUGGUUGGCCAUUUGGCCAGAGGGCAUCUGAGCAUCACCUGUGGUCAGCACUUUUUGGCUCAUGCGCGUUAGCAGUUUGGGACGUCAUAGGGAAUCCCCGAGGACAGAUGAGGUGGGGGAAGAGGCCAUACAUUUGGGCUUUCGUGCAUGUCAGGGUGGGGCUAAGUUGGAAACGUGGUAAUGAGGGAAGAUUUCCUAGAGAGACCGAUAGUGCCCAGGAUCCUGUGCCGGCAAUGGCUGCCACUUUCUGGCUGGGUGAUCAUGGGCAUAGCUGAGAAUAUAAAAAGUGUGAAUAAAUGAACAUGGUGUUGGAGAGAAGAGAAACAUUAUGUGCUAUUCCAUCGGCAACGGGAGGAUUCUUUGGAGCCAGUGCUGCCUUGGUGGGUGUGAGGUUCUUAUCUGCAACCUUGGGAAAUCCGAGUUUUCUCUCUUCCAGGAAAGAAGCAAGUGUGAAAGUAAGAAAAAGGAAGGAAUGUGUGUUCAAGGACUCACGGAAGAGAGACCUUCCAGAAGACACUGCAUCGGCUACUCUGAAAGACCCAACAGGAUGAAGACCAAGAGAAAGAAAGGAGGAAGCCACCGAUGACCUCGCCUUUCUUGGGGGAAACGUUUAUUUAUCACCGUUUAUCUCCAGCCACCUUUGUCUCUCAGCCCAGACCCACAUUUUCCAUGGCCUCCUCCUGAACAUCAUUGCCUUGCUAUUCCUUGGCUAGUUCAAGCUUAGCAUACCCCAAACAGAGCUCCACCCCUUCACUCCAGCCCCCCCAGCCCCUGAUCAGACAGAUAGACACCAGACUCAUUCACCUGUUUUCUCCAUCCUCCUUGGUUACGUCACCAUCCACCCUCAUCCACUGAGUAGCAUUCCAGAAUCUUCCCUUCCUCUCCCGGUGCACGUUUAGAUGACCCUUUAAAUAUCUCUUUGGCUAAUCUCUCCUCUCUAACCUCGAGGCUACAGCCUUAGGCCUUCCUCAUCUCUUAUCUAGACCAGCUCACCACCACCUUACCCCUGGUCCUCCCACUCUUAACCCGCCCUCCACACCUUCACACACUCUGAAUGCCUUUGGACCAUUUGCCUGACACAUAACACCCCAUUCCCAUUCUCCCCAGAAAAAAAGUCUUCCUUCUUUAAAAUAUCGCAAAUAAUAAGACAGUGAACAUGUGUGUCGAUACGACUCACUUUAAUCAUUCAGAUUAUUUCCUAGAGAUAAAUUCCCAGGGUUGAAGGCUGUGGAUAUUGGUAUCUAUCAACACUUUCACACAUCUGAAACUGAACACGAACACACCUCCCACCUGCCCGCCCCCCCUUUUGGUCUCCAUCUUACGUGUCUUUUUUAAAAAAAAACUUAAUUUUUGUGCCAUGA
This is a long non-coding RNA of Felis catus (domestic cat), 1948 nucleotides long. RefSeq lists it as uncharacterized. The transcript has 4 exons. The record is from RefSeq and is a predicted model, not a curated record. Lineage: Eukaryota; Metazoa; Chordata; Mammalia; Carnivora; Felidae.